Molecule: ribosomal RNA, 415 nt
Filed under: uncultured bacterium
Lineage: Bacteria
Description: bacterial SSU rRNA
Rfam family: Bacterial small subunit ribosomal RNA
Source: RNAcentral
UAUUGGUCAAUGGACGAGAGUCUGAAGCAGCCAAGUAGCGUGAAGGCUGACUGCCCUAUGGGUUGUAAACUUCUUUUAUAUGGGAAUAAAACAGGGUAUGCAUACCAUCUUGUAUGUACCGUACGAAUAAUCAUCGGCUCCCUCCGUGCCAGCAGCCGCGGUAAUACGGGGGAUGCAAGCGUUAUCCGGAUUUAUUGGGUUUAAAGGGUGCGUAGGCUGUGAGGUAAGUCAGCGGUGAAAUGCCCCCGCUCAACGGGGUGAAGUGCCAUUGAUACUGCCUUGCUGGAAUGCGGAUGCCGUGGGAGGAAUGUGUGGUGUAGCGGUGAAAUGCAUAGAUAUCACACAGAACACCGAUUGCGAAGGCAUCUCACGAAUCCGCGAUUGACGCUGAUGCACGAAAGCGUGGGUAUCAAAC